GUCUUAGUAACAUAGUGGUUAAUGCACAGCCCCGGUCAGGCAAGAGACGCGGGUUCGAAUCCCGCCUGAGAUG
This 73-nucleotide transfer RNA is filed under the name Nippostrongylus brasiliensis. It matches the Rfam family "tRNA". From Rfam's summary of the family: Transfer RNA (tRNA) molecules are approximately 80 nucleotides in length. The record is from Rfam by way of RNAcentral. Lineage: Eukaryota; Metazoa; Nematoda; Chromadorea; Rhabditida; Heligmosomidae.